This is a non-coding RNA of Heterocephalus glaber (naked mole-rat), 6107 nucleotides long. The record is from RefSeq and is a predicted model, not a curated record. NCBI's taxonomy places the organism in Eukaryota, Metazoa, Chordata, Mammalia, Rodentia, Bathyergidae.
GCGCGCGCCCCGGACGCCGGUCCUGCGGAGAGAGCGGCCCGGGGCGCCGAGGGUCCGCACCGCGCGGGGGGGCUGCCGCCGUGGCCGCCAUGUGCUCCCAGAUCUGGUUCCUAACGGACCGGCGCCUCAGCGAGGAUUACCCGCAGGUGCAGAUUCUGCGCGCCCUCCGGCAGCGCUGCUCCGAGCAGGACGUGCGCUUCCUGGCGGUGUUCAUGGACCAGCUUGCCGUCACAGUCAUCGGCGGCCACCUCGGACUCCAGCUGAACCAGAAGGCCCUCACCACCUUCCCAGAUGUGGUGGUUGUGCGGGUGUCCACGCCCUCCGUGCAGUCGGACAGCGACAUCACUGUCCUGAGGCACCUGGAGAAGCUGGGCUGCCGCUUGGUCAACAGCUCACAGAGCAUUUUAAACUGCAUCAACAAGUUCUGGACAUUCCAAGAGCUGGCCGGACAUGGGGUCCCCAUGCCAGACACCUUCUCGUAUGGUGGACAUGAUGACUUUUCAAAAAUGAUUGACGAGGCUGAGCCCCUGGGCUACCCAGUCGUGGUGAAGAGCACACGAGGCAACCAGGGAAAAGCUGUUUUUCUGGCAAGAGACAAGCAUCAUCUCUCAGACAUCUGCCAUCUGAUCCGCCACGAUGUGCCCUACCUGUUCCAGAAAUACGUGAAGGAGUCCCACGGAAAAGAUAUCCGAGUGGUGGUGGUUGGGGGUCAGGUGAUAGGCUCUAUGCUUCGCUGCUCCACAGAUGGACGGAUGCAGAGCAACUGCUCUCUUGGUGGUGUGGGUGUCAUGUGCCCACUGACAGAACAAGGCAAGCAGCUGGCAAUUCAGGUGUCCAACAUCCUGGGCAUGGACUUCUGUGGCAUUGAUCUUCUCAUCAUGGAUGAUGGCUCCUUUGUGGUGUGUGAAGCAAAUGCCAACGUUGGCUUCCUAGCCUUUGAUCAGGCAUGCAACUUAGAUGUGGGUGGGAUCAUUGCAGACUAUUCCAUGACCUUGCUGCCAAACAGGCAGACUGGGAAGAUGGCUAUCCUCCCAGGACUGUCAAGCCCCAGGGAGAAGAAGGAGCCAGAUGGUUGUGCUUCAGCUCAGGGAGUCACAGAGAGCGUCUACACCAUCAACAAUGGGUCUACCUCUAGCGAGAGUGAGCCUGAACUGGUAGAGGUCCGGGAUUCCUCAGCAAAUACAGUGGGGGGAUCACCCCCUGUGCUCUCUGAGCCUGGCUACAACAUUAACAAUAGGAUUGCUUCAGAAUUAAAACUUAAGUGAAUUCCUGCUUUUUGGCAGCAUUUAAACCAAAUCGUACUGCUUCCCUAGUAGUUUCAUGUGAAUAAAAUCUGGACUAAUGUGAUUUCAUUUGCACAGGAACAAGAAAUCCAAAUCUGGGCACUCAGCAUUCUUUCUAAUGAUGAUUUGAGCAAAUGGCCUAGCUUUGUGGUUUUUGCAAAGGCUAAUACGAAAACACUCACCACCACCGAAAUCUCAGCUGAUCAGUUUGAGACUAAGGCCUGCUGUGAGUACUUGGAUAGAAUGGUAGACUUUAAGGCACUGAUUCUGUGCUGCUGUUUCUGGCUAUUAGCAGUCAAGAACAUGAAUUUGGACUGGCUCCUGGAAACACUACUCACAACCAUAAGAUGGAAGCCUGUGCAGAUGAGGUGGAAUGUGACUAGAGUAAUAUGUUCUUCACUCAGCAUGUGUGUGAUGCUUGGAAAAUACAUAGCUGAAAUACUAUCAAGAGGAUCAGUCUCUGCUUCCCUUCAGUCACAUCCUGACCAUAUUUCUUCAACACUCAGGAUAUGGUGUUUUAGGACGCUUCUUCAUUAGCAUUCGCAAUGAAGCACUUUGUAGAAAGUGGGAUUGAAUGUUCUUUGACCUUACUGGUUGACAUAUGCCCUGCUUUGUAACUGGGACUUUCUGCAAAUUGCUUUGCCACUCUGAAUUCACCCUGCUUCAACUAAUGCCAGCUCCAGCAGCUUCUUGCACCUUUGCUGCCUUUGGCCUCAGCUGGAAAGGUACUUCAAUGGGCUGGUGGCCACACACUGUUUCUUAAGCGUGCACUAGAAUCUAACACCAUGGACUUGCUUUUCAACAAAUUCUGUUUGCUUGUCAUCCAGAAGCCAGUGGGUUUUUACCACAGAAAGUUACCAGAAGAUAAUCAUUUUUCCCCUUCCUCUGCUGAAACUUUAUGUACUGUGUAGCUGUAGAAGGGUUUCUGUAUGAGUCAAUGUUGUGGGCCUAUUGGGUAGAGCCAGCCAUUGGAAACACACUGCGAUCCCCUGGACAUUCUACUCUUAUCCAGGCUCCAGAAACCUGUCCUUACCCCCUUUACAAAACUGAGGAGACUCAGGUAGAUGUCUUUGAAGCCAGUUGCCCUGUAUAAAGAUACUGGGAUGCAUGGACUUGUGUCCAACCUGGAGAAUUGGGCGAGAUGUGCCUCAUCCCUUCUUUAAGUCUCAAGGAAUGCUGGUUUUGAGAACACUAUAAAUCUGAAGAAGAUGGAAGCAGCUAAUGGGGACAUGAUGUUCCAGGACCACUCAAGUAACAGCUGACCCUCCCAGAAUUGAAUGGAUCAGGAUACCAUGGGUGGUAAAGCCAAGAGCCACAACUUACUGAGGGAAGAGAAGGGAGUCAGGCCCGAACAUGAAUCCACCAUCAGACAAGCCACUUCAGCUUAAUACUUCCCUUUUCCCUGGAGGUGAGGCCUGUGUUUGCAGUUAGUCUGUGUAGAUGUUUUGGGAAGGACCCUGAAAACAGCUAAUUGUCAUUGUCCUUGAAGUUAAUGCUCUUAGGUUGGGGCUAUAGCCUUUUAGAAAACUUGCUGCUGCCUUUGACUUUGCCACCAAGAUUCAGAAUCAGUACAGAUGAUCACUUUAAAAUGUUUUUAUUUGGAGACCAUCCUUCUCAGGAUGUUUUAAUCUUCCCUAAAACUAGAUAAUGCCCCUUUCCAAAUUUAUGGCUCUGCUCUGCAGCCCUCCCUCCUAAAAUGCACACAGCUGAAUGUGAACUUUCUUCCUUCAUGCCUUCUGAUUCCCUUCUUCAGGUACAGUUCCUGCCAACAUGCGACAUUAUCCCAAGCCCCGGGCCGAUAUCUUAACCCUAUUUUGUGACCCUGUUCUGUGAAGUUCAUGUUCUCUAGGACUCCAAAGCAACAUUAGGAAAAUCACCCCCAAGAGCUAGAUUGGAGGGCACAGGAAUUGCAGCUCUUGGAGAGCAGUCUAGUCCUCGUUUUAUAAAAAGGAAUUCUGGCUCCAGAUGCCACAGUCACUUUGCCAGUCAGCAGCAAGGCUGAAUCCAGGCAAGGUGACUUUCAUCCAGGUUAGUACACAGCCAGAGGUGGUUCUGUUCCUUAUACAUCUAGCACUUUCUACUGUCCUGGGCCCACCCUCUGCUCAUUCCCCUUCUGAUGAGCUUCUUCUGAAUCAAUGUAGUGGUGAUGGGCACAUUGCUUCAGCGCUUGCAUGGAUCUUGGUGAGAGCCCCAAAGGCGCAAGAGAUUUCCAGGGUGCAAGCUGGUUCCUGUCCUGCACCCUCUUCAAAAUUAGCCAAGACCAUUUAGCUCCACCCCAUACUCACUGAUAGCUGACUGAGGGCUUCCUCGGCCCUAAUUUGGCGAAUGUCCUCUCACUGCACAGGGCCUUGAAGGCCAAGGAUUUGGCGUUAUGAACUCCCAUCAGGCACGCCUAAAGGGGAAUCUGCCACACACUCUGCUUGCAAUCAGCAACAAGGCCAGAAGUUUCCUCCCACUUUCUAUGGCACAGUGUGUCCCCCUUACAGCAAGACACUAGGCUCAGAUUCUUCUGUGUUACAGCCCAAAUGUCAGCUGAGAACCCCUUACCCUUCAAAUCCAAGUGGAUCUAACAGCUGCUCACAUUCUGAUCCCUUGUAUUUCUGUGAUUUCUAAGGGAUUUUUUUUUAUAGCUACUACUGAUUUCAGACUUCUGCUACCUCAUUGUAAGCAACAGUGUUGUCUCAUCCCCGCACUGCAUCAGUGAAGACAUGAAGCUCAGUGCCCUCCCCCAUUUCCACCUGUAGCAAAAUUCAGAUGAAUGUGUGUACCUGCAUACUCAUCUGGAUGUGAGAGGGAAAAGCAGACACUGUAGCAAUGCAGUCUUGGCAACAUGCUCAGAAUCUUCUUUUCAUAUACUGCAAAGGAAUCUCCACUCACUUGCCAUUCCACGUGGUCCCCAUCUCUCUUGGAACAUGGCAAGUCCAUUUAUGUUCUUAUGUAUAAUCAUUCCUUUAUUUUUUUAACUUUGAUUCCUAGCACUUGUACCUUCAUGAUUUCAACCUUUAGCAUGGGUGGCUUACAGAAGGAAUUUCCCGAACAAAGCCAACUCCUUCCUCAAGGGGAACUCACAUGCUAUCUCUGAAGCGGACACAUUUCAUUCUCACUAGGAUAACCCAGCAACCUAGCAACCAUGCUCACCACUAGCGUGUCAGGGGUAUACCCAUGGAAGGCAAUAGGGGCUAGUGUGAAUGGCAGCAGUUUGAGUCAAGUGGGAUUCAAAACCUGACAUAAGCUAGAGCUUGUAGGUACAGUCACCUCAACUUGCUAAGUCUUGCUUUUGACACUUCUGAUGCAAUCAAUAAACACAAUCUUGAAAAUGAAGCACUUUUUCUUCAGGUUCCUUUCCUUUGGCUGCCCCCACUGUGAGCAAUCACAAGCCUUCCUGUGCUUGUGGCUCAGUGCCAAGGGAUCAAAGCUGGCAGACAGCAGCUUUGCAGCUGGGAAUAGGGAUGCUGGGGGUAGGGCUGGCGGCUGCUCAAGCAGGCUGUCAUUUGAGCUUAAUGAUAGGAAAGUCUCAUCCAUCCUUGAGAUUCUAUGAUGCUAUACAAAAGAUACAGGGGAUGUAUCUGGCUUAGAAAUAUCCUGAAGGAAAGGCUGCCUCGGACAACUGGGAGGCUGGAAAGCUGAUGAGCAGCCUGGCCUUUAGUGAUUUAGCACCUGGUUUUUUUGGCUCUUCCUGUAUUAGGUUUACUGGCUUUGCAUCAGAUGAAAGGAGGAGGUGCCAAGGACUUGAAUUCAACCUGUCAAACAGAGGAUGAGGGGAAUGCAGGAGGCCCAGGCUGUCCAGGGAACUGAUACACAGCACCAUCUGCACUUGACAAGAAUGACAGCCCUGAGAUAGAUGGGACCAGCCAAUAAAGUAGCUACACUUCUACUGUCCAGAGCCUGUCCUGAGUGGGACUCUUAGAAUCUCCUGUUUAGAAGGAUACUGAUUUCCUACAAGGGAAGAGCUGGGGGCCCAUGAUCACUCUAUGGAGCCAACAAAGUUCUUUGUGGAGGCAGGACUAGGCUGUGCUGGGUGAGUUUACAUGCACCUAGAGGUCCCCCGAGCUCCAGCAGUAUACUGAAGCAGGCUUGUACCAGCCAAGACAGCAGAUUGUUAAAUUUCCAGGAAUGUUGUGAGCUGGUUAUUAAACACAACCAUUAUUAGACAUUAUAUAAACUUACAAUUAAGAUAUAGGUAAGAAAAACUCAAAACUUAUGAACUUCCUAAUUAUUUUACUAUUUAUGUUCUUGAGGCUGUUGACAUCCAUUGUAUUUGUAUGGUGGGAAAACUGCAUAAUUGUAUGCCACUGCCCCUCUCUUCCCAACUCCACCAUUCAAAGACAUCACACUUGUAGCUUAGAAUCAGCCACAGUGGGAAUAUCUACACCAGAAAUGGGCAAACACCACAUAGCAUGUCUGCCACUCCUGUGAGCUGGUUGUUAAACAUUUAAGAGUGCACCACCACUUCUGGGUGACAGAGAAAAGAAACUGAGACACGUAAACUGAAACAUUUUCAUUUCAGGGAGGUAGGACAUGUGAAGAUUUUCUCAGAAGCAAGGGUCCUGGUAAAUUGUGCACAACCCAUUCAAAGAAAACCACUUGAAAACACCACUUUUACACAUGUGUGUGUGCAUGCAUGUGUGUGUGCGAGUGCGUGUAAAACAGCUUCUGUGUUUUUCAUACAUGAAAAACUCCUUUUCCUUUUGCUCUGAUUCAUGAGGUCAAUCUCACCUGGGGGAGGUAUUCCAGCUGAGUACCCUCCAGAAAAGUUCAUUGUUGGCAAAUUGAAAGUGCAUUAAUUGGCAAAAUGAAAAUGUGCUUUAAAGAAUAGAUCUUAAC